CUCCGGCUCCUCAUUCCGGCUGCACACACGAGAGCCGUGACCACGAGCCUUCCGCACCUCCCUGGCUCUGGCUGCCGGGCCUGAUGGCCGAGCGGGCGUCACGUGGUUGCUCCCCCUGACGACAACCACCUCCCUCCCCACCCAGACACAGCUGUGACCUCAGAGCUGUGUGCAAAGUGUGUCCACGGGUCGUUGUAGUCGAUGGCAGAGAAAUAGCAUUUUCGUGGAGAGCUGGGAAGUAGCAUGAAAUGGUCUCGUAAAUAUUAGAGGCGAACUCGUCUCAAGGGGAGAACCGUCCUGUGUCCCUGUGGCUUGGUGGCGUUCUGGAAAUGCUGGGACGAAGGACGAGGAAGAGCGGCGAUGAGGGAUCCUUCCUUUACCUCAUUCACAGAAGCAGCCACACGGAUCCUGCUAAGAAUUUCCAGGUACGGCCACUGACGGAAGCAUCACAAGGCAUAAGACAGAGCUGCUGAGAAGACGCAUAGGUGCAAUGCUUAAAACAGGUAGUAUUCGCAACACCCAGAAAAACAAGGACACAACAAACAUGGAGUGAAUAUGACAAACCAAGAAGAGAGAUGAGGAUAAUAAGGAGAGAAAGUCAUGUGAAAACUGGAUUAACAGGAAAGCUCUACAACACAGUCAAGUCUGGAUUGUGCUGCAAGUCGAAGAGAAAGGCAAAAAUUUAAGAAAUCUAACAAAACAAAAACCCAAGAAAGCAAGGAUGAACUCUACCAAUCUCUACUCUGUACCACAAGACCAAGAAAAGGGACAGAAGUCUUUAGAGACAAAACCUCAAUAACCAUGGGGAAGCAAUUCUGAACAUUCUCUUUGCCAUUUGUAAUGAAUAAACAUGGUUUCAAAGGGGAUAUCAUGACUCUCUCAGGUUGCAGUCAUGCUCCAAACAUGAUUGCUGCCAACUCUCCUUUGGGUAGUGGCCCACAGACAUGGCUGCUAGUGACUGUGAGGCGAGAAUAAGACAAUAUGUGCAAAGCAUCGAGCACAGUGGUCUGGCGCCGAGGACACACGCAGUAAUGUUAAUUAAGGUCUGUCUCCUCACCAAUGCAAAGGAUCAAAUAAAUGCAAUACUGCCAAGUGGAUAAAGUACACAAAAUCACAAGUAUCCUUUUAUUUUACUUUGGAGAAUAAGUUUGUGAUAUCUUAUAAACGAUCUUCCUAAGAAGCAAAACUCCACCUCAUAUAACAACAACAGCGACAACUGUUGUACCUGAGAAAGACUGGUUUA
Long non-coding RNA from Canis lupus familiaris (dog), 1243 nucleotides. RefSeq lists it as uncharacterized. NCBI's taxonomy places the organism in Eukaryota, Metazoa, Chordata, Mammalia, Carnivora, Canidae. The record is from RefSeq and is a predicted model, not a curated record. The transcript is spliced from 3 exons.